Empidonax traillii (willow flycatcher) is the source of this 112-nucleotide long non-coding RNA. RefSeq lists it as uncharacterized. The record is from RefSeq and is a predicted model, not a curated record. NCBI's taxonomy places the organism in Eukaryota, Metazoa, Chordata, Aves, Passeriformes, Tyrannidae. The transcript has 3 exons.
GAUCUCUGGAUCUAGACAGCACGACAGUGGCCAUGGAAGUCGGAAUCCACUAAGGAGUGUGUAACAACUCACCUGCUGAAUCAGCUAGCCCUGGAAAUGGAUGGCACUGGAG